This is a long non-coding RNA of Triticum aestivum (bread wheat), 1679 nucleotides long. RefSeq lists it as uncharacterized. The record is from RefSeq and is a predicted model, not a curated record. The transcript has 4 exons. NCBI's taxonomy places the organism in Eukaryota, Viridiplantae, Streptophyta, Magnoliopsida, Poales, Poaceae.
CGAUCCCCACCCGGCCAACCCCCACCCUGCCCCCUCAUUUCGACUGAUCUGCGGCGCCAUCAGCAAAGACCAAAGCCCAUGGAGGCGACGGCGGAAGAGAGCGGCGAUGGACUGGAGUUCCUGGCAGAUCCGGUGGACAGGUUCCCCUUGCCGGAUCUUGCAUCCAACGGAUUCACGCCGGCCGGUGAGCUAGAUACUGGUCUCACACAGUCGACUGGUGAAUCAAACAUGGGAGAUGCUGGCGACAACCCACUGACAAUCCAGUUGGCCAUGACCAACGGCUGCGAAGCACUGAGCUUGUCGGCGGCGGAUUCGCAGCAAUCAACAGGAAAGGAUAACCCUCAGGCCCCCGGUUGGACAAGAAGACAUUGCCAGCUAUGAAGGUAAACACACCACUGAAGUUCCAUGCUAGCGAGAUCUACACGCAAGCAAUGUUCGACAAAUUUGGUGAAAUCAUGUAUGAAGCAAGACAAUACAGAGUAGAAGAAGUUGAAAAAGGUUCAAAAUAUUAUGUACACCGGUACCACCCGGAGAAACAUGACAAGUGCUGCAGAGUAUUGUACAUUGUACAUGUCCUCGCUCAGGGUGAUGAACUGACAUGUGAAUGUGGCAACUUCGAGCACAGAGGAUUGCUAUGCUGCCAUUCAAUUAAGGUUCUUGAUUUCUUGGGUAUAGACAGAAUUCCAUCAAAGCAUAUCCUGAAAAGGUGGACAAAGGAUGCCAGAGAUAUACUUCCAGAUCACUUGGCCCACCUACAAAAAGACAAGAUUCCAGCUAACUCCAUAACAUUCAGACAUUCAAAUAUGUAUACACAUGCUUUAGAGGUUGUGAAACUUGGUGAUGCAAAUCCAAUUGCAUAUGAUUGCGCAAUGGAACUUAGGGCAGCAAUGGAUAAACUGACUCCUUUAGCUGCUGAGCAUGAUAGUCUGGGUUUGGAACACUCAAGAAGACAAAACUUGCAGAAUUGAGUCAGCUGCAAGGGCCACAUAAUGGACACAUGUGCAACGAUGAGGGUAGUGCCAUAGGAAAUUUCAUUGGAUUAGCAGCUCCAGAAUGCAAACGGAAAACGCGGACGACCAACAAACAGCAGAGACAAGCCUCCGUACGACGACCGAUCUGCAAAGAGCAAAACAUGUAUGGUUACAUCACAACUCGAUGCAAUUGUCGGAUGCGGCACAAGCAAACGAACACGGUUCUGCACUAUAUGCCGUGGCCCUGGACACAAAAGCACAACAUGUCCACAAAGAGGGGACACGCCUCAAAAGAAAAGGAAAGAACCGAAAUGCUCAAUCUGCGGAGUGGGAGGGCAUCGAAAGAAUACCUGCAACAAAGAUUGUGGCACUCAUGAUCCUGCUAUCAAACAGUGAUUAAUCUAUGCAAAUCACCAAAAUCAUGUCAAGUAGCACUGAAAUUCUGCCAGUUGCCUACUGUAUCCUGCCUGAUCAGUGCCAGGCCCCUGAAGUACAUUGUGUACUUUCAGCUUAGAAAUCUGUAUUUGGCUGAACCCUGGGCUAUGUAGAUGAGUUGUUUAGAACUAAUUUCAUGCUGCUAUAACAGAGAUCUGGUACUAAUCUUAGUGUGCUACUGAUGAAAUGUUCAUCGACUAUCCAUCAUACACAUAUAUCUCCAUUUGUAUUUCCUGUUUUCGUGUUACUUUUAGCAGAAAUCCCAAGCCAUGA